AAUCUCAGUUCAGAUUGCAGGCUGCAACUCGCCUGCAUGAAGUCGGAAUUGCUAGUAAUCGUAGGUCAGCAUACUACGGUGAAUACGUUCCCGGGCCUUGUACACACCGCCCGUCAAACCAUGAGAGUUGGCAACACCCGAAGUCGGUAGUCUAACCGCAAGGAGGACGCCGCCGAAGGUGGGGUUGAUGAUUAGGGUUAAGUCGUAACAAGGUAGC
Molecule: ribosomal RNA, 217 nt
Filed under: uncultured bacterium
Lineage: Bacteria
Description: partial 16S ribosomal RNA
Rfam family: Bacterial small subunit ribosomal RNA
Source: RNAcentral